RNAcentral lists this ribosomal RNA (490 nucleotides) under uncultured bacterium. Its description in RNAcentral is "partial 16S ribosomal RNA". It matches the Rfam family "Bacterial small subunit ribosomal RNA", at positions 30 to 507 of the family's 1533-position model. The record is from RNAcentral.
AUUGAACGCUGGCGGCAGGCCUAACACAUGCAAGUCGAACGGUAACAGGAAGCAGCUUGCUGCUUCGCUGACGAGUGGCGGACGGGUGAGUAAUGUCUGGGAAACUGCCUGAUGGAGGGGGAUAACUACUGGAAACGGUAGCUAAUACCGCAUAACGUCGCAAGACCAAAGAGGGGGACCUUAGGGCCUCUUGCCAUCGGAUGUGCCCAGAUGGGAUUAGCUAGUAGGUGGGGUAACGGCUCACCUAGGCGACGAUCCCUAGCUGGUCUGAGAGGAUGACCAGCCACACUGGAACUGAUACACGGUCCAGACCCCUACGGGAGGCAGCAGUGGGGAAUAUUGCAAAAUGGGCGCAAGCCUGAUGCAGCCCUGCCGCGUGUAUGAAGAAGGCCUUCCGGUUGUAAAGUUCUUUCAGCGGGGAGGAAGGGAGUAAAGUUAAUACCUUUGCUCAUUGACGUUACCCGCAGAAGAAGCCCCGGCUAACUCCGUG